CGGAUUGUAGGCUGAAACUCGCCUACAUGAAGCUGGAGUUGCUAGUAAUCGCGAAUCAGCAUGUCGCGGUGAAUACGUUCCCGGGCCUUGUACACACCGCCCGUCACACCAUGAGAGUUGGCAAUACCCAACGUACGUGAUCUAACCCGCAAGGGAGGAAGCGUCCUAAGGUAGGGUCAGCGAUUGGGGUGAAGUCGUAACAAGGUAAC
Molecule: ribosomal RNA, 209 nt
Filed under: uncultured bacterium
Lineage: Bacteria
Description: partial 16S ribosomal RNA
Rfam family: Bacterial small subunit ribosomal RNA
Source: RNAcentral